GUCCCGGGGUUCUGGAACUAUGACGGUGAGGUCAUUCAUUCAGUGUUGUCCCGGGGUUCUGGAACUAUGACGGUGAGGUCAUUCAUUCAGUGUUGUCCCGGGGUUCUGGAACUAUGACGGUGAGGUCAUUCAUUCGGUGUUGUCCCGGGGUUCUGGAACUAUGACGGUGAGGUCAUUCAUUCGGUGUUGUCCCGGGAUUCUGGAACUAUGACGGUGAGGUCAUUCAUUCAGUGUUGUCCCGGGGUUUUGGAACUAUGACGGUGAGGUCAUUCAUUCAGUGUUGUCCCGGGGUUCUGGAACUAUGACGGUGAGAUCAUUCAUUCGGUGUUGUCCCGGGGUUCUGGAACUAUGACAGUGAG
Molecule: long non-coding RNA, 359 nt
Organism: Oncorhynchus tshawytscha (Chinook salmon)
Lineage: Eukaryota; Metazoa; Chordata; Actinopteri; Salmoniformes; Salmonidae
Source: Ensembl